GACGAACGCUGGCGGCGUGCUUAACACAUGCAAGUCGAACGAAGAGCGAUGGAAGCUUGCUUCUAUCAAUCUUAGUGGCGAACGGGUGAGUAACGCGUAAUCAACCUGCCCUUCAGAGGGGGACAACAGUUGGAAACGACUGCUAAUACCGCAUACGAUCUAAUCUCGGCAUCGAGGAUAGAUGAAAGGUGGCCUCUACAUGUAAGCUAUCACUGAAGGAGGGGAUUGCGUCUGAUUAGCUAGUUGGAGGGGUAACGGCCCACCAAGGCGAUGAUCAGUAGCCGGUCUGAGAGGAUGAACGGCCACAUUGGGACUGAGACACGGCCCAGACUCCUACGGGGGGCAGCAGUGGGGAAUCUUCCGCAAUGGACGAAAGUCUGACGGAGCAACGCCGCGUGAGUGAUGACGGCCUUCGGGUUGUAAAGCUCUGUUAAUCGGGGACGAAAAGGGCCCUUC
This 456-nucleotide ribosomal RNA is filed under the name Veillonella parvula. Its description in RNAcentral is "bacterial SSU rRNA". It matches the Rfam family "Bacterial small subunit ribosomal RNA", at positions 28 to 460 of the family's 1533-position model. The record is from RNAcentral. Lineage: Bacteria; Bacillati; Bacillota; Negativicutes; Veillonellales; Veillonellaceae.